Saccostrea cuccullata (small rock oyster) is the source of this 596-nucleotide long non-coding RNA. RefSeq lists it as uncharacterized. The transcript is spliced from 3 exons. Lineage: Eukaryota; Metazoa; Mollusca; Bivalvia; Ostreida; Ostreidae. The record is from RefSeq and is a predicted model, not a curated record.
CUGCUUUUUUAUGAAGUCCACGAAGCCCAAAGCUGAUAAGACUGGCGAUUGAUCCUAAAGCUGAUUCUGACAGACGAUUGCACCAUCACAAUAUUAAAGGUUCAAUAUACAGUCAGCCUAACAUAAGAAAAAAUCCAAAGAUCCACGGCUUGCUACAAAGUUAAGAGACCAUUCUGUGCCACAAAGAAAUUGUUUAGGAAGGGGAGAACUGGUGGAUUUGCAUUUUUGGUACAGUUCAAAGAGAUUUUUAAAAUGGUCAGAUUAGAGGGAGGACAACUGAAAAUAAUAGAGAUACAGAAGGAAAAAGAACAAGGAAAUAUAUGGAAUAAUUAUGUAAUGGGGAGGAUGUACACAAUUUUGUCUGAAUUUGACCUGUAAAGAUUUCCCAUUCUUAUAUGUAUGCUGGAAUAUCAAAUAACUUGAUUUUUCAUAAAUUUAUAAUAGAGAAUACAUGACAAAUGUUAUUGCUGAUGUUUCAAUUUUGCUGUGGACACUUUCAUGUCAUAUGGUAUUUUUAUACAAGUACAUGACCUAAUCAUGUGACCUAAUCAUGUUAUUCAUUUGUACAUGUAUACAUAUUUAACUACUUAAUCAUU